GAACUGCCUAUUUAGUGUCACUUCCUCUCUCUCUCUCUCUCAGUGAGGUUGGGCUAUCUCCAUGGCGUUGGGAGCUAGCUCAGCGACGUUGGGAGCUAGCUCAGCGACGUUGGGAGCUCUGGGUGACGUUUUGGCGUGCUUGCUGAUAGCGUGAUUUAGGUGAGACGUCUUCCCUGAGCGACCUUGCUCAUUCUACAGAUGAAGAAACUGAGGCAAAUAGGAGAAAAGUAACUUGCCCAUGGUCACAGAGCUAGAACAUAAGGUUUUGGCUAAUAAAUUAACAGAAGUGACCACCUACAUUAAUAUCAAUGACAGCAUCAAUAAUUCUAGCUGUGUCUGCUUCCUUUCUGAGAAGUAGAGAACCCAGCCCAUAUCUCUUUCAAACAGCUACAGAACAUAAUCUUUUGGCUAAUAAGUUAACAGAAGUGACCACCUACAUUAAUACCAAUGACAGCAUCAGUAAUUCCAGCCGUGUGUUUGCUUCCUUUCUGAGAAGCUGAGAACCCAGCCCAUAUCUCUUUCAUCCUCUUGACAUUUCUAUGGGGGGGGGGGGGAGGAGGGAGGGAAGGAAAGGAGGCAAAAAGGGAAGGGAGGUAUUAGGAAAUGAUGUCAUGGUAUAAAUUGUCAUUGCUAUUGAGUUGUUUUG
RNAcentral lists this long non-coding RNA (646 nucleotides) under Monodelphis domestica (gray short-tailed opossum). RNAcentral describes it as "lncRNA (ENSMODG00000036097.2)". The record is from RNAcentral. Lineage: Eukaryota; Metazoa; Chordata; Mammalia; Didelphimorphia; Didelphidae.